This 371-nucleotide ribosomal RNA is filed under the name uncultured bacterium. RNAcentral's name for it is "bacterial SSU rRNA". It matches the Rfam family "Bacterial small subunit ribosomal RNA", at positions 525 to 896 of the family's 1533-position model. The record is from RNAcentral.
ACGAACUGUGCAAACGUUAUUCGGAAUCACUGGGCUUACAGGGUGCGUAGGCGGCUUGUUAAGCAGGGUGUGAAAUCCCUCGGCUCAACCGAGGAAUUGCGCCCUGAACUGGCGAGCUUGAGUGGGAUAGAGGUGCGUGGAACUUCCAGUGGAGCGGUGAAAUGUGUUGAUAUUGGAAGGAACACCAGAGGCGAAAGCGGCGCACUGGAUCUCAACUGACGCUGAGGCACGAAAGCCAGGGGAGCAAACGGGAUUAGAUACCCCGGUAGUCCUGGCUGUAAACGAUGAGCACUAGCUGGCAGCGGCGGAUGCCGUUGCCAACGUAGCGAAAGUGUUAAGUGCUCCGCCUGGGGAGUAUGGUCGCAAGGCUG